GAGAGGGCGCCUGAGAAACGGCGACCACUUCCAAGGAAGGCAGCAGGCGCGCAAAUUACCCACUCUCAAAACGAGGAGGUAGUGAAGAGAAAUAACGAUGUUAGUCUUUUAUAGGCUGACAAUCGGAAUGGGAACACUGUAACAGGUUAUCGAUUAACAAUUGGAGGGCAAGUCUGGUGCCAGCAGCCGCGGUAAUUCCAGCUCCAAUAAGGAAAACUAAAGUUGCUGUGUUUAAAAAGCUCGUAGUUGAAUUUCGGGUAUUUGUUGCUAGCUGGUCUAACUGGCCAUGUUGGUUAACAGAUCCUCAUUUGCUGGACGGCUGGCGAUGAUCUUCAUCGAUUGUCGUCAGUUGCCAGCACGUUUACUUUGAGAAAAUUAGAGUGCUAAAAGCAGGCUCACGCCUAUAUAUAUUGCAUGGAAUAAUGAAAUAAGAUCUCGAUUUUAUUUCGUUGGUUUUAGAAAUUGAGAUAAUGAUUAAUAGGAUCAGAGGGGGGCGUACGUACUGUGGUGUGAGAGGUGAAAUUCUUGGAUCGCCACAGGACGAACAGCAGCGAAGGCGUUCGCCAAGAAUGUUUUCAUUAAUCAAGAACGAAAGUUUGAGGUUCGAAGACGAUUAGAUACCGUCCUAGUUCAAACCAUAAACGUUGCCAACUGUCUUUUAGAUGCGGGUUAUUUAUAUGACUCAUCUGGCGAAUCUCGAGAAAUCUAAGUUUUUAGGUUCCGGGGGAAGUAUGGUUGCAAAGCUGAAACUUAAAAGAAUUGACGGAAGGACACACAAGAAGUGGAGCCUGUGGCCUAAUUUGACUCAACACGGGAAACCUUACUCGGCCAGGACACUUUUAGGAUUGACAGAUUGAGAGCUCUUUCUUGAUUAGGUGGGUGGUGGUGCAUGGUCGUUCGUAGUUCGUGGAGCGAUUUGUCUGAUUAAUUUCGAUAACGAACGAGACUCCGGCUUACUAAAUAGUCUAAAGUUCGAAGGGACUUUUCAAGACUUCUUAGCAGGAUAAGUGGCACUUUUUAAGCCACACGAAAUGGAGCAAUAACAGGUCCGUGAUGCCCA
RNAcentral lists this ribosomal RNA (1060 nucleotides) under uncultured eukaryote. Its description in RNAcentral is "SSU rRNA". It matches the Rfam family "Eukaryotic small subunit ribosomal RNA", at positions 386 to 1473 of the family's 1831-position model. The record is from RNAcentral.